This 118-nucleotide ribosomal RNA is filed under the name Pteropus alecto (black flying fox). The record is from RNAcentral. Lineage: Eukaryota; Metazoa; Chordata; Mammalia; Chiroptera; Pteropodidae.
GUCUAUGGCCAUGCCACCCUGAAUAUGCCUGAUCUCUUCUGAUCUUGGAGCUAAGCAGGGUCGGGCCUGGUUAGUACUUGGAUGGGAGACCACCUAGGAAGACGAAGUGCAGUAGGCG